Molecule: ribosomal RNA, 305 nt
Filed under: uncultured eukaryote
Lineage: Eukaryota
Description: SSU rRNA
Rfam family: Eukaryotic small subunit ribosomal RNA
Source: RNAcentral
UAUUGUUUAUUUGGUGAUUGAUCACUAUAUGGAUAACCAUGGUAAUUCUAGAGCUAAUACAUGCGCCCAGACCCGACUUUGUGGAAGGGUUGUGUUUAUUAGUUACAGAACCAACCCAAGCUCUGCUUGGUUUCUUGGUGAUUCAUAAUAACCGAACGAAUCGCAUAGCAACCGCUGGCGAUAAACCAUUCAAGUUUCUGACCUAUCAGCUUCCGACGGUAGGGUAUUGGCCUACCGUGGCUAUGACGGGUAACGGAGAAUUAGGGUUUGAUUCCGGAGAGGGAGCCCGAGAAACGGCUACCACA